This 293-nucleotide ribosomal RNA is filed under the name uncultured prokaryote. RNAcentral describes it as "partial 16S ribosomal RNA". It matches the Rfam family "Bacterial small subunit ribosomal RNA", at positions 505 to 796 of the family's 1533-position model. The record is from RNAcentral.
GUGUCAGCAGCCGCGGUAAUACGUAGGGGGCAAGCGUUGUCCGGAAUUACUGGGCGUAAAGAGCUCGUAGGUGGUUUGUCGCGUCGUCUGUGAAAUUCCGGGGCUUAACCUCGGGCGUGCAGGCGAUACGGGCAAUACUUGAGUGCUGUAGGGGAGACUGGAAUUCCUGGUGUAGCGGUGAAAUGCGCAGAUAUCAGGAGGAACACCGAUGGCGAAGGCAGGUCUCUGGGCAGUAACUGACGCUGAGGAGCGAAAGCAUGGGUAGCGAACAGGAUUAGAUACCCUCGUAGUCC